Molecule: long non-coding RNA, 389 nt
Organism: Myotis daubentonii (Daubenton's bat)
Lineage: Eukaryota; Metazoa; Chordata; Mammalia; Chiroptera; Vespertilionidae
Gene: ABCG1
Exons: 3
Source: RefSeq, a predicted model, not a curated record
AGCGGUGAACACUGGAGUUCUGCUUUAAGAGGGGCUUCUUCCCUUUAUUAAUCCCCAAAUAAAUAGGUUCCCCGGCGAUGGCCUCUUUGCAGAAGGAGAGCUCCUGGGGGCUGUCUACACCCAAGCCUGCGGGGCGUCCCACACAACAGUCGAUCAUAGAAAGCAAAAUAAAGAAAGCCACUGGAGUGAAGGUUUGGUCAUUUACUUGCGUCAACAUUCACCAGUGGUGAGGAAGCCUGCAGUCAUGUCCCAGUGUCUGCCUCUGAGACUCUGUCCUCACCCUCCGCUCAGAAGGCCAUCGCAGCAGCAGAUGGUAUUUCCUCUUUCUCCAUUUAUAGAAAUACUUGCCUAGACCUUGCGUGCCACUCUUUGUUCUGUGCUGUUAACAU